UACGGAGGGGGCAAGCGUUAUUCGGAUUUACUGGGCGUAAAGGGUGCGUAGGCGGUCGCGCAAGUCUGAUGUGAAAUCUUCACCACUCAACGGGAAGAGGUCAUUGGAAACUGCGCGACUUGAGUUUGGUAGAGGCUAGCGGAAUUCCUGGUGUAGCGGUGGAAUGUGUAGAUAUCAGGAAGAACACCUGUGGCGAAGGCGGCUAGCUGGGCCAAUACUGACGCUGAGGCACGAAAGCGUGGGGAGCAAA
This 250-nucleotide ribosomal RNA is filed under the name uncultured bacterium. RNAcentral's name for it is "partial 16S ribosomal RNA". It matches the Rfam family "Bacterial small subunit ribosomal RNA", at positions 524 to 772 of the family's 1533-position model. The record is from RNAcentral.